This 484-nucleotide ribosomal RNA is filed under the name uncultured bacterium. RNAcentral describes it as "partial 16S ribosomal RNA". It matches the Rfam family "Bacterial small subunit ribosomal RNA", at positions 30 to 507 of the family's 1533-position model. The record is from RNAcentral.
AUUGAACGCUGGCGGCAGGCCUAACACAUGCAAGUCGAGCGGAUGAAGGGAGCUUGCUCCUGGAUUCAGCGGCGGACGGGUGAGUAAUGCCUAGGAAUCUGCCUGGUAGUGGGUGAUAACGUCCGGAAACGGGCGCUAAUACCGCAUACGUCCUGAGGGAGAAAGUGGGGGAUCUUCGGACCUCACGCUAUCAGAUGAGCCGAGGUCGGAUUAGCUAGUUGGUGGGGUAAAGGCCUACCAAGGCGACGAUCCGUAACUGGUCUGAGAGGAUGAUCAGUCACACUGGAACUGAGACACGGUCCAGACUCCUACGGGAGGCAGCAGUGGGGAAUAUUGGACAAUGGGCGAAAGCCUGAUCCAGCCAUGCCGCGUGUGUGAAGAAGGUCUUCGGAUUGUAAAGCACUUUAAGUUGGGAGGAAGGGCAGUAAGUUAAUACCUUGCUGUUUUGACGUUACCAACAGAAUAAGCACCGGCUAACUUCGUG